GUAGGGAAUAUUGGACAAUGGGCGAAAGCCUGAUCCAGCCAUGCCGCGUGAUAGAUGAAGGCCCUCUGGGUUGUAAAUAUCUUUUAUCUGGGAAGAAACUCCUCUAUUCUUAGAGGCCUGACGGUACCAGAGGAAUAAGCACCGGCUAACUCCGUGCCAGCAGCCGCGGUAAUACGGAGGGUGCAAGCGUUAUCCGGAUUCACUGGGUUUAAAGGGUGCGUAGGCGGGUUGAUAAGUCAGUGGUGAAAGCUCCGGGCUUAACUUGGAAACUGACAUUGAUACUGUCAAUCUUGAAUGUCGUAGAGGUAAGCGGAAUGUUGCAUGUAGCGGUGAAAUGCUUAGAUAUGUUACAGAACACCAAUUGCGAAGGCAGCUUACUAUGCGAUAAUUGACGCUGAGGCACGAAAGCGUGGGGAGCAAACAGGAUUAGAUACCCCGGUAGUCC
Molecule: ribosomal RNA, 445 nt
Filed under: uncultured bacterium
Lineage: Bacteria
Description: bacterial SSU rRNA
Rfam family: Bacterial small subunit ribosomal RNA
Source: RNAcentral